RNAcentral lists this transfer-messenger RNA (359 nucleotides) under Ignavibacteriaceae. RNAcentral's name for it is "CG2-30-36-16 sp001873185 Standard tmRNA". It matches the Rfam family "transfer-messenger RNA". Rfam says of the family: Bacterial tmRNA, also known as 10Sa RNA or SsrA, is named for its dual tRNA and mRNA-like properties. RNAcentral also lists the same sequence under 2 other names. Lineage: Bacteria; Pseudomonadati; Ignavibacteriota; Ignavibacteria; Ignavibacteriales. The record is from RNAcentral.
GGGGGUGAAAUUGGUUUCGACGGGAUUGAAGAGGCUUUGAACUGCGUAUCGUGUUCCCCGAAGACACGCUAAAAAAUUGGGACAAAAAAAUAACUGGCGAAUAUAAUUACGCCCUCGCUGCGUAGGUAAACUACGUAGCCGUUCUUUAAGUUUUCUCGCAUAGGAAUUUAAAAGAACGUCGUUUAUGUGCGAUAGCCGAACGGAGCGUCUGUGACCGUAAAGCGAAAUUUAAAGCAGACAGACUUAAUGUAAUCCUUGUUUGUUUGGUAGCGUUAAGUUAAAACAAAAACAAACUAUGUACGUAGAAGUUCUUAGUGUCUUAAUUUCGGACGCGGGUUCGACUCCCGCCACCUCCACCA